RNAcentral lists this ribosomal RNA (874 nucleotides) under uncultured Candidatus Nitrosopumilus sp. RNAcentral's name for it is "bacterial SSU rRNA". It matches the Rfam family "Archaeal small subunit ribosomal RNA", at positions 21 to 903 of the family's 1478-position model. Lineage: Archaea; Thermoproteati; Nitrososphaerota; Nitrososphaeria; Nitrosopumilales; Nitrosopumilaceae. The record is from RNAcentral.
CCUGACUGCUAUCGGAUUGAUACUAAGCCAUGCGAGUUUUUGUAGUAAUACAAGGCAGACGGCUCAGUAACACGUAGUCAAUCUAACCUAUGGACGAGGAUAACCUCGGGAAACUGAGAAUAAUACUCGAUAGAUCAUUAUGCCUGGAACGGUUUAUGGUUCAAAUGAAUUUCGCCAUAGGAUGGGACUGCGGUCUAUCAGCUUGUUGGUGAGGUAAUGGCCCACCAAGGCUAUUACAGAUACGGGCUCUGAGAGGAGAAGCCCGGAGAUGGGUACUGAGACACGGACCCAGGCCCUAUGGGGCGCAGCAGGCGAGAAAACUUUGCAAUGUGCGAAAGCACGACAAGGUUAAUCCGAGUGAUUCCUGCUAAAGGAAUCUUUUGUUAGUCGUAACACCACUGAUGAAUAAGGGGUGGGCAAGUUCUGGUGUCAGCCGCCGCGGUAAAACCAGCACCUCAAGUGGUCAGGAUGUUUAUUGGGCCUAAAGCAUCCGUAGCCGGCUUUGUAAGUUUUCGGUUAAAUCUAUAUGCUUAACAUAUAGGCUGCCGGGAAUACUGCAAAGCUAGGGAGUGGGAGAGGUAGACGGUACUCCGUAGGAAGGGGUAAAAUCCUUUGAUCUAUGGAUGACCACCUGUGGCGAAGGCGGUCUACCAGAACACGUCUGACGGUGAGGGAUGAAAGCUGGGGGAGCAAACCGGAUUAGAUACCCGGGUAGUCCCAGCUGUAAACUAUGCAAACUCAGUGAUGCAUUGGCUUGUGGCCAGUGCAGUGCCGCAGGGAAGCCGUUAAGUUUGCCGCCUGGGAAGUACGUACGCAAGUAUGAAACUUAAAGGAAUUGGCGGGGGAGCACCACAAGGGGUGAAGCCUGCGGUUC